Felis catus (domestic cat) is the source of this 2564-nucleotide long non-coding RNA. RefSeq lists it as uncharacterized. The record is from RefSeq and is a predicted model, not a curated record. The transcript has 19 exons. NCBI's taxonomy places the organism in Eukaryota, Metazoa, Chordata, Mammalia, Carnivora, Felidae.
UCUUCCCCAAGACACCUAUCUUCACUUUUUCUUUUUAUUCUCCAAUAGGGGCCCUUGGAAGGUUAAAGCUCAAGUGGAACUUCUUUGAAAAAUAUCCACAGCCCUUACUGAAGUGCUCUGGAAUUUCUCUGCAGUCCUGGACUAAGCAGAUGGUGAUCGUCAUGAGAGAAGUGAUUUUUUUCUCAUUCCUUUGGUGUAUCUCUAAAGUUCCUACUCUUAGCCUUGGACCUCGUCAGGUAUUUCUGGAAAUCAGAAGACAGUUCCCAUAAAACCUGGAAAUUGGGAAAAUAUAGAGCCUAUAGAAUAUGAUACACAAUAUCACUAUAAUAUUUUAAAAGCAAAAUAUGGAUAAAGUGAACACUGACAACAGAAUUGAAUGGAGAAUGAGCUCAGAACAUAUAGCAGAGCCCCCUUCCACGACCACCACUAGCAUCUUGCAGAAUUGAAAGUCAGAACAAAGGGGUGAGAAGAGACCAACAGAACACAAGACCUGACACGUCUGUGAAGAAUGACAGAGAGAAGCCCAAGUCAUUUUCCAGAGCUAGUUCUUUGUGCUUACUAUUGCAGAUUGCCUUAAAAGGCUCAAACUUCUGUCAUUAUGAAGAGGGUUGUUCAUUAUUCCAAAAACUGCUAAGAACAGGAUUGCUACCCAAGCAGAAGAGAAUCUGUUUUAAGUGAAUGUUCCCAAGAAAAUAAUCAAGUGUCUAAACUUAUUUUGCUUCUUAGGAAAAAAAAUGUAUUUUGAAGGCAAAGAUAGAAAAUAUUCCAGAGAACACAUCCAUCUGGAAGAUUUUCCCAGAACUCUUCAGAUCAGCCUGGAUCCAAUUUUCAUAACUCAUCCACACAGUGGAUGGUGGGCAUUUAUAUUAUGUCUCCUUAGAAGCAGACAUCGUCCUACACAAUCAUCUAGAGCUUCUUGCAGCCUUGAAAGAUUCACUAUAACACAACUCCAUCUUCACUAAAACAAAGCUGCAACUUGGUCCUUCAGUGGAAAAGAUGGACCUUUGAAAGAUAAGAUAUGAGAAUCUGGGCAGCCAGACCGCAGCCAGGAAAAGGAGAAAGGGAUCCUAGAAAGGAAUGACACCUCUGAAUGUGCAUCUGUGUGGCAUCUUGCUUUCAGGUACUCACACGGGUGCCCCACCGAGGGAAAUCCAAUGCAAGGGAUGACAACGGAAGCUCUUCACAAUGGUUUGAAGCUUAUUUAUGCUGGAAGAAGAAAUGAGAAAUCACCCCAGCUGAGCUCCCUGCUGACGGCCAGCAGCAUUUGCCAGCAUGUGAGUGAGCCAUCUGAACAUCCAGCCCUAUACAGCCUUCAGAGACGCCAGCCCCAGCUUCAAACUGACUGAAAACCAGAGACACCAAAUGAGAACCACCCAGAAGGCGGAGGCAACAAGUGUGUCCACCACUCAACUGACCAGGAAGAAAUAAGUGGUUGGCACCGGGCAGCGUGAAGAAAGGUAGCUACGGACUUUGCAGUCACAUGGAUUCAUACCUGCCUGAAAACACACCUAAAAUGCAUGAAUUGGUGUCUAUGGAGAUUUUGAAGUGAAAAAAAAUUAUUACACCUGAAUAUUACACACACUCCUAUACACCUCAUGUUAAUUAGGAUAUUAACAGUCAAGAAUGCAUUCAGAGAAGAAUGACUUGAAUGAUAGGAAGUCUGAGGUUUAUGUCAAAAGUGACAGAGCUGAGGGAAGCCCGGGCUCCUGCAAUUCUGCCCACAUCUAGGAAGUCAAGAGACUGAAACCAGUGGUCGCACAAAUAAAGCUGAGACUCAGCUUAGGUGGUCCAGACCACGUCCUGGCAGCUCGAGGGUGCCUGGGGCGCCAAUGAGUUCAAGAGAAGCAGGCAGACAGUGACCAAGUACAGACCGAAACCACCUCCAACACUGACCAAGAGAAUCUCAUUACCCUUGCAGGCAGCCCCACAGUGCCACCAUCCCGAAUGAUCACAAGAGAGAAUCAAAAUACUUCCAUUCUGGUCAUUCCAUUCCAUUCAUAUCGAAUCAACUGUACCCCAGGGAUGGCUACUUGCCUUGUGCAUCUACUUCUGGAUGCUUCUCCAUUUCGCAAAGGACAAGUGGCCACAACUGUGCUUUUCUGUGUCAUGCAAGGGCAGAGGAAUUUCCCUUAUAUCUGUCAACCAAAGUUGGCAGUUGGAGGAGAAUUCUCUCAAUGGAUUAAAUAAUCCUAGUUGCCACAGUUUCUCAUUAUUGCAUCCAUGAGUCCUGCUUUACCUUCAAACACAGUUUGGCCUUCAUUGGCCCUCUUAAUUACAUAUUUGAAGACAGGCGACACUGAAGUUGGGACUCACUUAGCUAAUGAGAUUGGACCAAAUCAUGGCCCAGGAUGCAGUAGUAAACCAGGGCUGUCGCUGUGGGCCCUGGAAAGAGCGAUGAUCCCUCAGUAAGAAACUGGAACUAUACCUUUGAAAAUUUAUGUCAGGAGGUGCCUGGGUGGCUCAGUCGGUUGGACGUCCAACUUCGGCUCAGGUCAUGAUCUCGCGGCCCGUGAGUUCGAGCCCCUCAUCAGGCUCUGUGCUGACGGCUCAGAGCCUGGAGUCUG